Long non-coding RNA from Silurus meridionalis, 497 nucleotides. RefSeq lists it as uncharacterized. The transcript has 3 exons. The record is from RefSeq and is a predicted model, not a curated record. Lineage: Eukaryota; Metazoa; Chordata; Actinopteri; Siluriformes; Siluridae.
GAACCAUACAUACUGACUCAUGUUUGUCCGUUUGUAUUUGUUGUUCUUAAUUGUUGUCAGCUCAUGGGUUCCCUGAGCAUCUGAUAUGAAUUCCUGGCUAUGUCACUGCUACUAGGUCUCUCAAGCUCUAGUAAUCUGAGUUGCAGCUUACAACAGUUUUAACCAGCUGCAGAUGUUCACUGUAAACACCCCUACAACCAACAUUACUGCCAGGAAGCAAGCAGCGACAGGCAAACCUGCCUCAACAACACUAAGGGAUAAAACAUUGGAUCUAAAUGAUAUAAAGCACUUUGUAGCUACUAUAUAUGAUUUCAAUGUCAUGAUUUUUUGUUUUCAUUCUAUGCUUGUCUUUAGUUAUCUGUGGUUUACCAAAAAGAAACUAAUCCUUACAUAUCCAUCAGCUAUAUGUAUAUAUGCUGUAUGGUUUAAAAAACUUUCAUUCUGUAGUUAUGUAUGCACUGUGUCCCAAGCCAUGCUACUGGAUUGUUUUUUUUGUU